AGCGAACGUUAGCGGCGCGCCUAACACAUGCAAGUCGCACGGAGUAGCAAUACUCAGUGGCGCACGGGUGCGUAACACGUAGAUAAUCUGCCCUUCGAAGGGGGAUAACGUUCCGAAAGGAGCGCUAAUACCGCAUACAGCUGCGUCUGGUUCGCUAGAUGCAGGCAAAGGCUGGGCCCAGCAAUGGCCAGUCGUCGAAGGAGGAGUCUGCGGCCCAUCAGCUAGUUGGCGAGGUAAUGGCUCACCAAGGCAGAGACGGGUAGCUGGUCUGAGAGGAUGAUCAGCCACACUGGUACUGGAACACGGACCAGACUCCUACGGGAGGCAGCAGUGGGGAAUCUUGGUCAAUGGGCGCAAGCCUGAACCAGCGACGCCGCGUGAGUGA
Molecule: ribosomal RNA, 385 nt
Filed under: uncultured bacterium
Lineage: Bacteria
Description: bacterial SSU rRNA
Rfam family: Bacterial small subunit ribosomal RNA
Source: RNAcentral